AGGCACAUUUGGUCGAUACCUCGGCUCUCGAAUCGACGAAGACCGUAGCAAACUGCGAUAAUUCACUUGAAUUGUAGCGUUUACCGCGAUAGUCGAACUGUUGAACGCACAUGAUGACCGACUGUCCCUUGCAAAAGGGGCAGCUAGGCCACUCUCGUUUGAGAGACCUU
This 170-nucleotide ribosomal RNA is filed under the name Cavenderia exigua. Its description in RNAcentral is "5.8S ribosomal RNA". It matches the Rfam family "5.8S ribosomal RNA". Rfam says of the family: 5.8S ribosomal RNA (5.8S rRNA) is a component of the large subunit of the eukaryotic ribosome. The record is from RNAcentral. Lineage: Eukaryota; Evosea; Eumycetozoa; Acytosteliales; Cavenderiaceae.